RNAcentral lists this ribosomal RNA (477 nucleotides) under uncultured bacterium. RNAcentral describes it as "bacterial SSU rRNA". It matches the Rfam family "Bacterial small subunit ribosomal RNA", at positions 28 to 517 of the family's 1533-position model. The record is from RNAcentral.
GACGAACGCUGGCGGCGUGCCUAACACAUGCAAGUCGAACGAGGUCCAUGAGAGCUUGCUCUCAGAAGACCUAGUGGCGAACGGGUGAGUAACACGUGAGAAACCUGCCUCGGAGUGGGGAAUAACUCGGGGAAACUCGAGCUAAUACCGCAUAUCUUCACAUGAUCGCAUGGUCGAGUGAAGAAAGAAUUUCGCUCUGAGAGGGUCUCGCGGCCUAUCAGCUUGUUGGUGGGGUAACGGCCCACCAAGGCAACGACGGGUAGCUGGUUUGAGAGAACGAUCAGCCACACUGGGACUGAGACACGGCCCAGACUCCUACGGGAGGCAGCAGUGGGGAAUCUUGCGCAAUGGGCGAAAGCCUGACGCAGCAACGCCGCGUGCGGGAUGACGGCCUUCGUGGUGUAAACCGCGUUUCAGCAGGGACGAAAAUGACGGUACCUGCAGAAGAAGCCCCGGCUAACUACGUGCCAGCAGCCG